UCGCCUUGGUACACUAACUAAGAAGAAAAUAUUGUUUCCUUGUCAGUACACCCAUUCAUCAAAUGUUUAUUUUACUUCUUUAAAGUUUGAACACCAUCAACAAAAUUUCUGUUUUUUCCAUCUUGUGAAAUCAUGCUUCUCCUUUUUUCUGUUUCUUUUUUUGUGAUCUCCUUGUAUGUCCUCCUAUAUAUUUCAUUAAGUACAUAUAUUUGCCAGAAAUAUCAUCUUAUCUUUGAAGUUUCCCUGUUGACCCUAUCUUUCUUGUAUAUAGAACUGCAAUUUUCUGCAAUCACUAAG
RNAcentral lists this long non-coding RNA (297 nucleotides) under Solanum tuberosum (potato). Its description in RNAcentral is "long non-coding RNA (STUB_LNC002320)". The record is from RNAcentral. Lineage: Eukaryota; Viridiplantae; Streptophyta; Magnoliopsida; Solanales; Solanaceae.